Molecule: long non-coding RNA, 992 nt
Filed under: Microcebus murinus (gray mouse lemur)
Lineage: Eukaryota; Metazoa; Chordata; Mammalia; Primates; Cheirogaleidae
Description: lncRNA (ENSMICG00000048472.1)
Source: RNAcentral
AUGAUAACUGCUUAUCCAGGUUUGGUGUCCUGUGAUGAGGUAACAUAUCUAAGAUCCAUGCUACCUGCAUACAACUUCAAGAAACUCCCGGAGAAAAUGAUGAAAAACAUCUCCAACCCAGGGAAGAUUUAUGAAUAUUUUGGCCAUAGAAGAUGUAUAAUGUUUGGGAAGAGACAUUUGGCCAGAGAGAGAAACAAAAAUCACCCUUUGUUAGACCGGGAGAAAGAAUUGGAAGCAUUCCGAAUGGCACAGCAAGGGUGUUUGUACCAGAAGAAGGGACAAGCAGUUUUGUAUGGAGGUGAAAAGGGCUAUGGAAAAAGCCAGCUAUUGGCUGAAAUAAACUUCUUGGCCCAGAAAGAGGGGCAUAGGUAAAGACUCCUGCUUUCUGACUUAGUCAGAGCCUACUUCUCUUGGGGCUUCUUUCCCUUGUUGGUGAGACUCUUGUGUCACUAGAUUCAGCACCCUUGGACUGGUGGACUGUGUGUGGUACAGGGGACUCCCAGUGAUCAUAGUAAUGUUCACCAGGGUGUUGCCAUUGAAACUGAAAGAAGCAGAUUCCAAGCGGUGCUUCUAUGCCAUCCAGACCCUCAUGGCUAUCUUCUUUGAGAUUGAUACAUGCCCAGCCUAUUACCGGCAAGAGUGCCUACAAAGACAGCUUCGGCAGAUGAUGAAGGAACCACUUCACUGCCUUUUCAAUGACCUCUUCUUUGUGAAGGUAAUGAAGACAGUGGCUUUCCGAAUUGGGUUACUGUUAUUUUUUGUGGGUAGUCAGACCCAAGAUUGUUUUCUAAUCAAAUACCUUAGGGUCAUAUACAUAUAUAUAGGACACACACACACGCACUAAGAACACAUAGUAAUAGUAGGACUGAGAUUUAAAAUCACUUUGACACCAAAAGUCAGGAUUUUUCCUUUUUGAGGAGAAUGGAUUCUAGGAUUGAAUCUGACACUUGGUAGUUGUAUGUUCUGGAGCAAAUCACUUAGCCUCUCUGAGC